This is a long non-coding RNA of Ipomoea nil (Japanese morning glory), 520 nucleotides long. RefSeq lists it as uncharacterized. Lineage: Eukaryota; Viridiplantae; Streptophyta; Magnoliopsida; Solanales; Convolvulaceae. The record is from RefSeq and is a predicted model, not a curated record. The transcript is spliced from 4 exons.
UAUCUUUGCCCUGCCUAUUAAUUUCUUGCAUAUUUACAUUAUCUUGAAUAUGUUGUAUUGUUCUAAUUUUUUUUUUGGGUUCAUGUGGGUGAAUAUGUUUCCUUUUAUUGCUUGUGAAAUUUUUACUUGUGAGGUUGAUAUAAUUCUCAAAGCUUUGGUUGAUGAUGAAGAGCUAAUGAACUUGCUAUUCUCAUUUUUGGAACCUGUGCGUCCUCACAGUGCUCUGCUGGCUGGUUACUUCAGCAACAUUAAACCUGCUUGGAUAAAAGGGAAAAUCAGCUUUAAGCAUCGGAUAAAAAACACAUUGUACAUUGGAUGUAGUCAUUGUAUGAAAAAGGUUUACGCGGAAAGUGAAACAAUUUAAUUGCAUGCAUUGUGGUGAAUUGAAUGCAGUGGGAACACCACGGUGUAAACUGGAUGUGGAAAUUACUGAUGGAAGUGGAUGCCUUGUUGCAUCUGUGUUUAGGAAAUGUGUUGAACAACUAUUACUCUUUACGAGCAAACAAGUUAUGCAAUUGGA